UACGAAGGGGGCUAGCGUUGCUCGGAAUGACUGGGCGUAAAGGGCGCGUAGGCGGCGGUCACAGUCAGAUGUGAAAUUCCUGGGCUCAACCUGGGGGCUGCAUUUGAUACGUGAUGGGCUGGAGUGGGGAAGAGGGUCGUGGAAUUCCCAGUGUAGAGGUGAAAUUCGUAGAUAUUGGGAAGAACACCGGUGGCGAAGGCGGCGACCUGGUCCUUGACUGACGCUGAGGCGCGAAAGCGUGGGGAGCGAACAGG
This 254-nucleotide ribosomal RNA is filed under the name uncultured bacterium. RNAcentral's name for it is "partial 16S ribosomal RNA". It matches the Rfam family "Bacterial small subunit ribosomal RNA", at positions 524 to 776 of the family's 1533-position model. The record is from RNAcentral.